RNAcentral lists this ribosomal RNA (741 nucleotides) under Streptomyces coelicolor. RNAcentral's name for it is "bacterial SSU rRNA". It matches the Rfam family "Bacterial small subunit ribosomal RNA", at positions 161 to 914 of the family's 1533-position model. Lineage: Bacteria; Bacillati; Actinomycetota; Actinomycetes; Kitasatosporales; Streptomycetaceae. The record is from RNAcentral.
GUCUAAUACCGGAUACUGACCUGCCAAGGCAUCUUGGCGGGUCGAAAGCUCCGGCGGUGCAGGAUGAGCCCGCGGCCUAUCAGCUUGUUGGUGAGGUAAUGGCUCACCAAGGCGACGACGGGUAGCCGGCCUGAGAGGGCGACCGGCCACACUGGGACUGAGACACGGCCCAGACUCCUACGGGAGGCAGCAGUGGGGAAUAUUGCACAAUGGGCGCAAGCCUGAUGCAGCGACGCCGCGUGAGGGAUGACGGCCUUCGGGUUGUAAACCUCUUUCAGCAGGGAAGAAGCGAAAGUGACGGUACCUGCAGAAGAAGCGCCGGCUAACUACGUGCCAGCAGCCGCGGUAAUACGUAGGGCGCAAGCGUUGUCCGGAAUUAUUGGGCGUAAAGAGCUCGUAGGCGGCUUGUCGCGUCGGUUGUGAAAGCCCGGGGCUUAACCCCGGGUCUGCAGUCGAUACGGGCAGGCUAGAGUUCGGUAGGGGAGAUCGGAAUUCCUGGUGUAGCGGUGAAAUGCGCAGAUAUCAGGAGGAACACCGGUGGCGAAGGCGGAUCUCUGGGCCGAUACUGACGCUGAGGAGCGAAAGCGUGGGGAGCGAACAGGAUUAGAUACCCUGGUAGUCCACGCCGUAACGGUGGGCACUAGGUGUGGGCAACAUUCCACGUUGUCCGUGCCGCAGCUAACGCAUUAAGUGCCCCGCCUGGGGAGUACGGCCGCAAGGCUAAAACUCAAAGGAAUUGAC